This 497-nucleotide ribosomal RNA is filed under the name uncultured bacterium. RNAcentral describes it as "partial 16S ribosomal RNA". It matches the Rfam family "Bacterial small subunit ribosomal RNA", at positions 28 to 507 of the family's 1533-position model. The record is from RNAcentral.
GAUGAACGCUGGCGGCGUGCCUAAUACAUGCAAGUCGAGCGAACAGACGAGGAGCUUGCUCCUCUGACGUUAGCGGCGGACGGGUGAGUAACACGUGGAUAACCUACCUAUAAGACUGGGAUAACUUCGGGAAACCGGAGCUAAUACCGGAUAAUAUAUUGAACCGCAGGGUUCAAUAGUGAAAGACGGUUUUGCUGUCACUUAUAGAUGGAUCCGCGCCGCAUUAGCUAGUUGGUAAGGUAACGGCUUACCAAGGCGGCGAUGCGUAGCCGACCUGAGAGGGUGAUCGGCCACACUGGAACUGAGACACGGUCCAGACUCCUACGGGAGGCAGCAGUAGGGAAUCUUCCGCAAUGGGCGAAAGCCUGACGGAGCAACGCCGCGUGAGUGAUGAAGGUCUUCGGAUCGUAAAACUCUGUUAUUAGGGAAGAACAAAUGUGUAAGUAACUAUGCACGUCUUGACGGUACCUAAUCAGAAAGCCACGGCUAACUACGUG